GAUGGCAUACCAUUUGAAAAAGUAGACAACCCAAGGUAUUGCAAGUGAGGUAUGUCCAGUCUUUUGUAGUAGCCACGUGGUCACAAACACUGGCCAAAUAUAAUUUUUUUUGCUUUUUUUCACACUAAAACAAAUAUGAACGCUAACUUUGGCCAGUGUUUAUGACUAAGUGGCUGCUAAAAAAGACUUGACAUUCCCCACUUGCAAUACCUUGGGUUGUCUACUUUUGCAAAUGGUAUGCCAUC
Pelobates cultripes (western spadefoot toad) is the source of this 245-nucleotide non-coding RNA. The record is from the annotation of a GenBank genome assembly. Lineage: Eukaryota; Metazoa; Chordata; Amphibia; Anura; Pelobatidae.